This 68-nucleotide transfer RNA is filed under the name Tritia unifasciata. RNAcentral's name for it is "tRNA-Ala". It matches the Rfam family "tRNA". From Rfam's summary of the family: Transfer RNA (tRNA) molecules are approximately 80 nucleotides in length. Their secondary structure includes four short double-helical elements and three loops (D, anti-codon, and T loops). The record is from RNAcentral. Lineage: Eukaryota; Metazoa; Mollusca; Gastropoda; Neogastropoda; Nassariidae.
GACUUGAUACUUUAAGGUAAAAGAUCUGAUUUGCAUUCAGAUAAUGAGUUUUUUAAACUUUCGGGUCA